This 360-nucleotide ribosomal RNA is filed under the name Streptococcus mutans. RNAcentral's name for it is "bacterial SSU rRNA". It matches the Rfam family "Bacterial small subunit ribosomal RNA", at positions 28 to 370 of the family's 1533-position model. Lineage: Bacteria; Bacillati; Bacillota; Bacilli; Lactobacillales; Streptococcaceae. The record is from RNAcentral.
GACGAACGCUGGCGGCGUGCCUAAUACAUGCAAGUGGGACGCAAGGGAACACACUGUGCUUGCACACCGUGUUUUCUUGAGUCGCGAACGGGUGAGUAACGCGUAGGUAACCUGCCUAUUAGCGGGGGAUAACUAUUGGAAACGAUAGCUAAUACCGCAUAAUAUUAAUUAUUGCAUGAUAAUUGAUUGAAAGAUGCAAGCGCAUCACUAGUAGAUGGACCUGCGUUGUAUUAGCUAGUUGGUAAGGUAAGAGCUUACCAAGGCGACGAUACAUAGCCGACCUGAGAGGGUGAUCGGCCACACUGGGACUGAGACACGGCCCAGACUCCUACGGGAGGCAGCAGUAGGGAAUCUUCGGCA